AUGAACGCUAGCGGCAGGCUUAAUACAUGCAAGUUGAGGGGCAGCAUGAUAUACGCGAGUAUAUUGAUGGCGACCGGCGGACGGGUGAGUAAUAGGUAGGAGACCUACCUCAUACAGGGGGAUAGCAUAGAGAAAUCUGUGGUAAUACCCCAUGAGGUUAUAUGAAUAGAGGCAUAUAAUCAAAGCAUAAGCGAUUAUGCGGUAUGAGAGGGGCCUACUGACCAUUAGCUAGUUGGUGAGGUAAGGGCUCACCAAGGCGAAGAUGGUUAGGGGUUUGAGAGAGAGACCCCCCACAUUGGAACUGAGAGACGGUCCAGACUCCUACGGGAGGCAGCAGUAGGGAAUAUUGGGCAAUGGGCGAAAGCCUGACCCAGCCAUGCCGCGUGAAGGAAGACGGCCUUAUGGGUUGUAAACUUCUUUACUACGCGAAUAGAGGUUAGUACGAGAUACUAAUAGGAAGGUAGUGUAGUAAAAAGCACCGGCUAACUCCGUG
RNAcentral lists this ribosomal RNA (493 nucleotides) under uncultured bacterium. RNAcentral describes it as "bacterial SSU rRNA". It matches the Rfam family "Bacterial small subunit ribosomal RNA", at positions 30 to 507 of the family's 1533-position model. The record is from RNAcentral.